This is a long non-coding RNA of Chroicocephalus ridibundus (black-headed gull), 5512 nucleotides long. RefSeq lists it as uncharacterized. NCBI's taxonomy places the organism in Eukaryota, Metazoa, Chordata, Aves, Charadriiformes, Laridae. The record is from RefSeq and is a predicted model, not a curated record. The transcript is spliced from 3 exons.
CCUCCGAGGGCCGCUCUCUAUGGCCUUGCAGUGCCUCAGGGCACCGUAAGUGUCCUCAGUCCUACGGAAGCCACACGCUACCAGCGCUCUUUCAAAACUACAGAAAACGGUUAAUAAUUAACCGCAAAAAUAAUCUUAAGACCACAGAAAUGAAGGGACCACUGUGGAAAUGUCUUCUCCACCACAACAAGCCGACAUCGCUUGAGCACGAGUGGUAGGAUAAUCGGCAGCAGCGAGUCGGAACUCCCCGAAGAUAAAAACGAAGUAGGGUGCUUUGCCUGCGGGGAACUUCGGGCAGGUGGAAGAGGAGCUGCCGCUCCUCCUCGUGUCCUCUGGGGUUGGCCCUGCCCUUUUCCCAGGGGGCCGAGGGCACACGACCGCGGCCUCUGCUGAGGGAGCUGGUUCUGCCCUGGGGCGUCCCUGGUGUCCCGGCUCUGCUGGGCCUUCACUCAGCUGCAGUUUUGGAGCUGGCUCAGCUGUUUCGGCAGGUGGUUUUUUGGCAUUUAGAGAAGCAGAGAUGAGAAGUCUUAAGGUACAACCUUCAGGACCAGGGCCUUCUGGCAGAUGGCGGUAGCUAUGAGACAGACGUGUUUCACAGAACAGGAAACAUUCCUACAUCAUGACUGGCUCAAGGUUUCUGACUGGCACAAGGUUUCAGGGGUACAUUAAUAAAACCUUUCGAAAUUAUUAAUUUGGGCCCUGAGAUGAAACAAUUUAGAUGGCCUGAGAUAUUGUUCCGACAGCUAAUAGAGAAACAGCUUAGUUAAAAGGAGGGGAACACAGCUGGACUGCAAAGUACCUCUCACCACAGCCUGACACCGGCCAGGCCCUGAAGCUACAAUCCUUCUUCUAACCUGUUAAGAAAUCCAUCUGCGUUACUGAGAUUAGACAUAGGGCAUUUCGCAAGUCUGUGCCAAUUCCUGGAACAUCGAAUGGAAACCAGUGCCAGGAUCAGUAACGUGACUGCGGUCACAGAGACACGAGGCUGCAAGGGACUUCAGGAGAUCAGACCUGACAGCCCAACGUACAGAGGCCACACACGCUCCUUCCUCCAGCAGUGCUUAUCAAACGUCACCUUCGAAAAUUCUCCACCACCUCCAAGUAAUUGCAGCCUGCUCCAGCACUUCAGCUGUCCUCUGCGAGAGCCUUUCUCUCUUUUCCAACAAAAAUCAGCUUUGCUGAAAAUUCAUUUUAUUUCUUCUUGUUUUCCCACAGGGGCCAUGCGGUUGCUGCUGAUUACAUGAUCAUUAUUAAUUUGCUUUUAAGAAAAAAAGAGUCUAAGGUCUGUUACGGCAGUGGGAUGAAUCCUAACCUGAUGAUCAAUCAUCCUAUCUGCCAGUUCCCAAAAGGACAAGUCGCCCUUAAGGAAUGUCACAAACAGCAAAUAUAAUUUUUCUCUUCUGCGCUGACCAGAUAAUUUAAAUCUAAUGUCAAGGCAGAUCUUCUAAAGACAUAAACUGGAUGAACUAGUCAGCCUAGAGGCAGGAAACAGGAAAAAAAAAAAUAACUUGAAGAGCCAGAAUUUGCCAGAAAGCUGAUUGUUUGGUUCACCGAGUUGCAGUCAUUUAUCAAUUAUACCUUUUAGUAGAAGCAUAAGAUGUCUAAGUCUGAACCAGUUACAUUGUAGUCUCACAAAUACAUGAAAGAUACUAAUGCUUUUCACAAGUCUGACAAAUUUUUAACUUUGUUUUUUAGAUUCUAGGCCACUUAUUUGUUUACGUGCAGUGGAAUAAUUUCAAAAUUACUCUACAGUGCUGGUGCACGGGAUUCCAGGCAAGAACAAUUGAGGUCUCUCACUAACCGGCAGCAUCUCGGAGUCUCAGGUCCCACACAAGCCUAAUCACUGGAAAUAUGCUUUGGAGGAAGUAAGUCCCUGUUAGAAAGCUGUCCCAGCAGGCUCAGCUGGAACCAACCGAACACCGAGGGGCACAGACACGUCACAAACCAAACAUAAACAGCCCAACAGUGAAUAUUUUUCAGGUUCUUGCAAUAUGAGAGCCUCUUCCCCAUCAAUUGUUGCAGUUACUGCAAUUAUCGCUCCAGACUUUUUGGAGGUACUUGAAGAGAACUUUGAAGUAGAGCACCAAAGGCAAGUAAGUUUGGUUUUUUUAUUUAUUUAUUAAUUCCAUACUUAAUAACACUGUUUACAUGGAGAACACGUUCAUUCCCUGCAAUCUUGUAAUCAAAGUGAAUCACCGCUGCCAGCCAAGCUACUGUAAGCUCAGUGCUGCCCUCAGCAGAGCCAACCAACUGCUAUAGGUAGGCUACAGCCUUUGAAUUGAAUGCUGUUGCUGAUUUACAGCUGAAAGGUCAUCUUCUCUGCUCCUCGCAGCUGUGUUGACCAGGCAGAGAUAAAAAUGGCUACUUAAAAGACCCCAAAGUCACAUUAUUUCGCUUUCACAGAGCACAGAGACACCUCAUCUCUUGAGAACGCUCGCUCGCAGCUACGGCGGCUCUACCCCCACUUCCCCCAGCUGCCGAGUAAGUAAGCGGUGACUCACCAAACACAAGUGCUUACCAGCAACUAAGCUACCAGGACUGCUGACUUUUCAGCACAGAUAACUCAAACAGGUGAACAUAUAUUGUUCUAGAACCUGUAUCUCAUUUUAAUUAAGACUAGACACUUCUACCUGGCUUCAAACUGUAAUUACAGCCAAGCCUUUUAGGGCAGAUAACAGCGUACUGCACGACGCAAGGUGGGGCCGGUGGUUCCCCCUCCACCCACACAGCGCAUCUCCUGAGCUUCCUCCUAGGGCUGUCCCCACCGCCGGGUUCAUACCCUAGCGCAGCCAGAGGCUGCAAGGCCCAACUCUGCCCUCGUUAGCGAUUCAUCACUCAUGCUACGUGGGGGAGCAGGGUUGGGAAGAGUCCUCCCAGCCCGGCUGCGGUUAGCUCCUGCUCGCCAAACACGCUGGGGGGACAUACCUGGCCUCUGACUGCACGGGGGAAGUGGGACACUGGGGACAUUUCUGCAGGGCCGCUGCACUCUAUAGCAGGAAAUGUUAAACCAAAGAAAUAGCUGCCUAUGAAAUCCUAGCUCAGCAGCCCCCAAACCCAGCUAGCCUGGAUUUAAAGCAACAUGAUGCUGGCACAGCUCUUUUUACAAAGGACGGUACUCAGCUAUUGGUACAGCAGCCGCCGAGCUCACACUCAGCACCACGACUUUUGAAAGAUAAUGGCCUUAAGCAUCAAUCUUACACGCUUCCUUAAAAUCCCCAGCCCAGACUACAUUGUACCAUCACUUUGAAACAAACCGGUGGUGUAGUCACAGGGACUUAUUGGCUGCACUUGCAUCCACUUCCCACCCUCUGAGUGGGAACAGGAAGCAGCUUGCUUAGUGCCAUAAGGAAUCAGGAAUAUUACUGCUCAAUUACGACUUCUUUUAAAACGCACGAGAAUCCCAGACUAGCAGGGGUUGGAAGGGACCUUUGGAGAUCAUCCAGUCCCACCCCCUGCCAGAGCAGGGUCACCCACAGCAGGUGGCACAGGAACGCCUCCAGGGGGGUUUGGAAUGUCUCCAGAGACAGAGACUCCACCACCUCUCUGGGCAGCCUGUGCCAGGGCUCUGCCACCCUCACAGGAAAGAAGUUCCUCCUCAUGUUGAGGUGGAACUUCCCAUGGUCAAGUUUGUGCCCGUUACCCCUUGUCCUGUCACUGGGCACCACUGAAAAGAGCCUGGCCCCAUCCUCCUGACACCCCCUAUUUAAGCAUUGAUAAGAAGUCAGACUCAGACAGCGAUCAACCCACUUGUUACACCUCGAAGCAGACCAGUCCUAAUGCGUCAGCUCCCACGCUGACGCUAGGCAGAACUAGGCACGCUUCACCCCAGCGAGGUUAAGGGAAGCACGCCUUUCGUCCAAGAUCGUGAAGGGCAGUCUGCCCUUCUUCUCCGUCCUUUUCCUCUCAAGAUGGAAACUCCUCUUCCAGCUCAGUGAAGGAAGCGUGAACAGGAAGAAGCAACAGCACAGAAACCCACCUACAAGAUAAGGCUAAUGCUGUUUUAGCUGGAGGAGGAGGAGGAGGAGGGGUAAGCAUGCUACGUGGUUUUGCCUGUUGACACAUCACUGAGGACUGAAGGUACUAAGGUAGCAAGUUUUUCCUAAACUUGAAAUCCCAUUUUACAUGGCUUUAAUUACAAAUGCAACAUUAAAGGUCAGUAUCAAGACUAAAUUCUGAGGAAGAUGCACUUUUUGUUCCAGGGCCCAGAUGACAGUCGGGGACUUGGCAAUCUCAAGGCUUUUACUGAGCAUUUAAGAUAAUUGUUAUCAAAUAGCUUUGGGCACUCUCAGGUGGAAGAUUUUCUAGAAAAAUCUUCUGCCUGUCCUGUGGCAGAGCUCCAAGAGUGCUUACUUGGCUCGUGUGGUGGAAAGAUGACGGUUCUGGAUUACUAUGGCAGCACUGUAAGAUGAUGCCAGGACCCAUAGCCGCUGCCAUCUUCACACACACAAAGGCCUCUAUGAAAAAUAAGAACUUUAAAGACUUGGACAAGACAAACACAAUACUUGUUUUGAACAAAGCUUUGUCAUACUCGCCUGUGAGGAGAGGCACCAUCACUGCUUUGAAGGGACUCCCCAGCUCACAGCAGAGUCCCUGCCCUGCACAGGAAGGUAUCGCACGGCCCUGGCCCCCGCUCCUCGCCGAGCACAUCGGACUGCGAGUCUUACGCCCAGCCUGGGCACGGCUGCAGGCCCUGUUUCCCCAAGCCAGAAGGAGUCAUUUCUGACAAUUCAGAUGUGGUUACUAUGUUUAGAAUAACCAGUACCUCCAAAAAAAUCAAAAAAAAAAAAAAAAAAAAAAAAAAAAAAAAAAAGGCAGCUUGCCAGUUCAGCACACUUUAGAAGAAGAAAUUGAACACAGACUGGUCACCCCAGUUUGGUAAUACAGGUAUCUAUUUUAUUAAAAAAGUUACAAACAGGUGGACUGUAGGGUUGUCUUACAAAAUGACAAGAAUGAAUUCUACUGGAAAAAAUAUUUUACAAAGCAUUAUAGGUAAUUGUUCCAUUUUUGCACUUGUUAUUCCAGAUUUCACCUAUCACUGGUAAAGAUACAGUACAUUAGAUACAUGAUGUUAGGUUACAUUUUUAUUUGCAGAGCCCUACUGCAGUGAUUUGAACAACUCCUAAACAGAUGCCAUAGUAAAGACAAUACAUAUUGCAUUUAUUAUUAGCCUCUUACUCUAAUAAGCAACUUCACAUGCAAUCUAUUGAGGAAGCCUAAAUUAACUUUUGGUCCCUUUUUCCCCCCAAAGUGUGCUGAAGAAACCAUCUCUCGUUUUCCCAGUCCUGUCACUCUAAGCUAGUUCAAGUUUUUUAAGGUUUUUUUUUUUUUAAGUUUUUUUUUUUUUUUUUGCGCUGAGGUCAAUGAAAAUGAACACUGGUUCGAUAAUUACCCAUAGGAGUGAACCACUCAUUAAUAGUAACUGACUUUUUCCCCCUUAGACAAAGGAAAACUAAGAUCUUUAUGAAUUACUUUUAUUUCCUAUUACUUCCUUAAAACCUACAAAAAAAGAUAA